This 178-nucleotide unclassified non-coding RNA is filed under the name uncultured fungus. RNAcentral's name for it is "sequence contains ITS1". Lineage: Eukaryota; Fungi. The record is from RNAcentral.
UUGACUCAUUUGUAAGACUCAGAGAUACAACGCUGAGAGACAGAGUUGGGGGCCGCCGGCGGGCCGGUGCCCGGCGCGAGGCCGGGCGCCCGCCGAGGCAACGUUCGGUAGGUUCACAGUGGUUUCAGGGAGUCUUGCGAGUCCUGUAAUGAUCCCUCCGCUGGUUCACCAACGGAGA